This 384-nucleotide unclassified non-coding RNA is filed under the name uncultured bacterium. RNAcentral's name for it is "contains 16S-23S intergenic spacer region". The record is from RNAcentral.
UCCGAGUUGACCCCGGCGGUCUCCCGUGAGUCCCCAACCUCCCGAAGGAGUUGCUGGCAACACAGGAUAAGGGUUGCGCUCGUUGCGGGACUUAACCCAACAUCUCACGACACGAGCUGACGACAGCCAUGCACCACCUGUCACCCGACCACAAGGGGGACCGUGUCUCAACGGUUUUCCGGGUGAUGUCAAGCCUUGGUAAGGUUCUUCGCGUUGCGUCGAAUUAAGCCACAUACUCCACCGCUUGUGCGGGCCCCCGUCAAUUCCUUUGAGUUUCAGUCUUGCGACCGUACUCCCCAGGCGGCGAACUUAACGCGUUAGCUUCGAUACUGCGUGCCAAAUUGCACCCAACAUCCAGUUCGCAUCGUUUAGGGCGUGGACUAC